GCCACCCUAGCUCAGCUGGUAGAGCGAUGCUUUCGUAAAGCAUAGGUCGUCGGUUCAAAUCCGAUGGGUGGCU
Molecule: transfer RNA, 73 nt
Filed under: Pseudomonadota bacterium
Lineage: Bacteria; Pseudomonadati; Pseudomonadota
Also listed under: 2 other names
Description: tRNA-Thr
Rfam family: tRNA
About the family: Transfer RNA (tRNA) molecules are approximately 80 nucleotides in length. Their secondary structure includes four short double-helical elements and three loops (D, anti-codon, and T loops).
Source: RNAcentral